GAAAAAAAAAAUAUGCAUUUUGUAGCUGAGAAUAUGCUCUAUAAAAUAGUGUUAUUGUACUCUUUGUAGCUGUUGCAGUUUUCUUGGGAAUAAAAUGGAGGCAUUACUUUUGGAGCAACUUAUGCCCAUAACUUUCUACAAGUAUAACUCAGGCUCAAUGGAACUAACAGUACAUAAAAAUUUGUCCUUAAAGGUAAGAACAUUGGCAAAUGCUGACAAAGUCAUGACCUUUCUUUCUAUUUCUUGUACUAAUUUCACUCUGUUCUCAACAUUCAUGCAGCAGUAACUGAGUGAAAUCAGUAGAAAUUCUGAGUGUGAGCAGCUGCUGCAGAAGGCAGUGGGAAUUAUAGAGAUUCAGCAUCCAUCACCGCACAGAAAUAUAGUGGACAUAAUGGCUGCAAAGUCCCUAGCUAUGCCAGUCUUCAUUGAGAAUGAUGAAAGAAGUCCACAAAAUAAGCAGCCACAAGACCAGAAGAGAAAAGAUUCUCGAAGGAAGAGCAAAGCCUUAGACCGUGACAGAAGAGUCAUCUGGCUGCAAGGAAGCGCUGGUAUG
Meleagris gallopavo (turkey) is the source of this 553-nucleotide non-coding RNA. Lineage: Eukaryota; Metazoa; Chordata; Aves; Galliformes; Phasianidae. The record is from RefSeq and is a predicted model, not a curated record.